RNAcentral lists this ribosomal RNA (570 nucleotides) under Creatophora cinerea (wattled starling). Its description in RNAcentral is "partial small subunit ribosomal RNA". It matches the Rfam family "Bacterial large subunit ribosomal RNA", at positions 1817 to 2597 of the family's 2925-position model. Lineage: Eukaryota; Metazoa; Chordata; Aves; Passeriformes; Sturnidae. The record is from RNAcentral.
AGCCUUCAGCAAACCUGAAACAAGUAUUGAAGGUGAUGCCUGCCCGGUGACCCGAUGUUUAACGGCCGCGGUAUCCUAACCGUGCAAAGGUAGCGCAAUCAAUUGUCCCAUAAAUCGAGACUAGUAUGAAUGGCUAAACGAGGUCUUAACUGUCUCUUGCAGGCAAUCGGUGAAAUUGAUCUCCCUGUACGAAAGCAGGGAUAAACCCAUAAGACGAGAAGACCCUGUGGAACUUCAAAACCAGCGGCCACCCUAGAAUACAUAAACCCCCACCGGGCUCACUUACACUCUAAGGCACUGGCCCGCGUUUUUCGGUUGGGGCGACCUUGGAGCAAAACAGAACCUCCAAAAAUUGGACCAUCCCUCUAGACUGAGAGCGACCCCUCAACGUGCUAAUAGCAACCAGACCCAAUAUAAUUGAUCUAUGGACCAAGCUACCCCAGGGAUAACAGCGCAAUCUCCUCCGAGAGUCCGUAUCGACGAGGAGGUUUACGACCUCGAUGUUGGAUCAGGACAUCCUAGUGGUGCAGCCGCUACUAAGGGUUCGUAUGUUCAACGAUAAACAGUCCU